Molecule: ribosomal RNA, 253 nt
Filed under: uncultured bacterium
Lineage: Bacteria
Description: partial 16S ribosomal RNA
Rfam family: Bacterial small subunit ribosomal RNA
Source: RNAcentral
UACGUAGGGUGCAAGCGUUGUCCGGAAUUAUUGGGCGUAAAGAGCUCGUAGGCGGUUUGUCGCGUCUGCUGUGAAAGCCCCGGGCUUAACCUGGGAACAGCAUUUGAUACUCGAUAGCUUGAGUUCGGGAGAGGAGAGUGGAAUUCCCAGUGUAGAGGUGAAAUUCGUAGAUAUUGGGAAGAACACCAGUGGCGAAGGCGGCUCUCUGGACCGACACUGACGCUGAGGCGCGAAAGCGUGGGGAGCAAACAGG